GAUCGACUAGGACAAUUGAACGAAAUAUUUUCAAAUGAGAGUUUAAUAAAUCUGCACCUACAGAUUUUAAUUUUUAUUACAGAAAGAAAUUAAAUAGAUAAGAGAUCAAAUAAUGUGACAACCCCCACAUAUACUCAUCUUCUAUCUUCAACGAAUGUCAUUUCAUACUUAGAGCCAGUGUGGUUCUUCUAUAUUCCUGCUCCCUGCUCAUGCUGUUUUGAAGCAAAUUUAGGCAUCAUUUAACUUAGCAUAGUGCAAACACUUCAGUAGGAAGCUCUAAACGAUAAGAAUUCUUUGGCUUUAAAAAUAAAAACAGAUCAAGGAAAUAUUUUGAACCUCAGACCCUCUUACAUUUUUGUGGACAUUUUUUUUUCAUGAGCUGCAUUUCUCAAAAUACUAACUUCAACCCACAUGUUAGGGGAGAAAAAAAAAAUUCAAGAGCAUCGCUAGUCCCUGGUUUGCUUCAAAGGAGUGUUUUUCUCACUUAUGGCAGAGAUUUAAGAAACUAAAUUUCUCUUCUGUGAGUCACUGUUGUUUUAGUUGUGAAUUUUCACUUUUGGUGUUCAAAUAAAUUAUUUACUUUAAUAUAUCUAACUGGUUCCACAAAAAAACUUGACUUGAAAAGAUGUACUGGACACUUACUUUAUGCUACACGCUAUUGGUACAGGAAAGUAGAAGUGGCCAGGUAAGGAAAGCAAGGCAGAAAAUUAGCCUCCCCCUCCCUCUGACGCCCAAACUUUGUUGGACAUCUUACAGUGAUUAUGCCAUUCAAUUGCCUUUUAUAUUGGGGGAUAUAUAAAAAUACACACACACACACACACAUUUGUAAGAGUGGCAGGAACAGUGCUCUCUCCAACUCGUACACUACUGUUGUUUCCAUAAUUGCCCCCAAAGAUAACUCUGUUUCUCAGACAUAAACUGCCGCAGUCUGGCUGGGCACAAAUGCCGCAGUCUGGCUGGGCACACGAUCACGAGCCACCACACAGCUUGUAGAUUCAAACAGCAACUCUUUAUUCCCGAACUCACACCAGCCGUCUACAAACACGUUCUGGGGAAAUCCACGUUCUCUGCCCAAAUCCACCACCACUGGGCUUCUCUCUCCCACAAAAAUACUGUCUGAAUCCCAUGAGAACUCAAGGGGAACUCAGGCAGCAGGAUACGCCCUAUUCCCAGCAGGAAUAAUCUUAAACCUGGAACGCCCUAAACCCGAUUAUCCUAAACCGGGAACACCCUAAUCCCGGAUCCGCCCUGGUCCUUGAGCAAGGUCACCUAACUGCAAUGUCACUGCAAAAUGUCCUAUUUCCACGAGUCCUUCCACUAAGCAACAUGGGGUACGCUGGCAAGGAAAUUGUCAUACCUACUUGGCUAAUGGCUCCCAGCAAUAAACCCUGAAGUACUCCCCACCCAUUGAGAGAGAGAACUACUCAAACAUUGCAAAGAUAAAUAUCUCCCAUCUUUAUGGAAUAAAGUAUAAACAUAUAAAAGUGAAUUGUUAUAUCUCAAUAAACAUACUUUUUUAAUCAUUUUUUUUUCUCUUUGAGUUGUUCACAUUGGUAUUGUCAAUAAUGAGCUCCCCCCCUCAAAAUACCACAAUUUAAAAGUAGAAAGAUUUUCUCUCUGAUUUCGUUAGAACAACUAAAGUGAUAGACUUGAUUCUUGGACUUGACAUGAUGUAAUUUUUUAAGGGGGAAGAAGAUGACAAUUCUUUAAAACAUUUUUAUUAUUAUGUAUAAAAGAGUAUCUAUGCCAGUAAUGCUGGCACAUGCCUGUAAUCGCAGCAGUUUAGGAGGCUGAGGCAGGAGGAUUGCGAGUUCAAAGUCAUCCUCAAGCAAAAGUGAGGCACUAAGCAACUCAGUGAGACCCUGUCUCUAAAUGAAAUACAAAAUAGGGCUGGGUAUGUGGCUCAGUAGUUGAGUGCCCCUGAGUUUAAUCCCUGGUAUCCCCACCCCCUAAAAAAAAAAGCUUAUCUGUAACAUUAGAGUUACAAAGCAUAAUAUUAAAAUAACAGCAUGAAUUUCUACCCAAUUUAAAGCUACAACCCCUCCAAUGUGCUCCACUCUACCUUCUGAACUAAUUUCCAUCUUGAACUUUCUAUUUACAUCAUUACAUACAUUUUUAAAAAGUAAUUUUGCUCUAUGUGUACAUAUUAUUAAAAUUGUUUAGUUUUAUUUGGGGGUUUUAUAAAAUGUAAUCAUAUCAUAUGUGG
Molecule: long non-coding RNA, 2206 nt
Filed under: Marmota monax (woodchuck)
Lineage: Eukaryota; Metazoa; Chordata; Mammalia; Rodentia; Sciuridae
Source: RNAcentral